Long non-coding RNA from Gallus gallus (chicken), 3267 nucleotides. The record is from Ensembl. NCBI's taxonomy places the organism in Eukaryota, Metazoa, Chordata, Aves, Galliformes, Phasianidae.
CUCAUUUUAUUGCAGCACAAAAAAAAGAGACUCCAAGGUAAUAUUUACUUUGCUUUACAUUUCAUAAAAAAAAGAAGACUGUAAUUUCAUGGAGGCUCUAACAGGAAUUCCUCUUUCCAUCCAAGCGGAAGAAAUUGUGUUCAGGACCUUUCCCCGAGGGCUCGAGGAAAGCACUUGAACAUGGAAACUCCCACUCCACUUUAUUUGUGAGUUAGCCCUGCAGGAGGAUGAGGCAGGAGUUGAGACGCUAUAAGUGGACUAAGUGGCCAAAGCCUGUGACAUUAAGGAGUAGGAAAGGAUGCUGAGAGGAUAAUCUCAGAGAUGCAGCUCUCCAGCUGAUGAAAAUCAGAAGAGCCAGAUAAUCACUGAGAGGGAUUCCCACCUAGAAAGAAGGCAAUUGCAGGGGCUUUAAGAAAAAGGGUGCAGUAGUUGCUCCAGUUCUGCCUGUCAUUCCUGCACCACUGCCUUUCCAAGCACUGUCUCUUAAGAUGCUGGAGGAGGGGCUGAGGCCCUUUUAAUGAAGUGAAAGGAUGAGCGGGAGGCUGACCAGAACAGCAGUGGAAAGAGCAAAGACACAUGCUGAGAGCCCUGUGCAUGGGGAAACCAGAGCCGCAGCUUGUUCCAGACCCCGGAGCCUCUGAAGCACAGAUGUCUCCAGGAAAUCUUCAUGCUUCACCCCAACAGAGCUCUGGCCAGGAAAAGAAUCUCCUUGGUCUAUUUUAAGUUGUAAAAGGAAAGAAUAUGAGACUCUUCCUAAAUUCUUGAAACCGGUAUCUGGGCCUCUGGGAAUGAAGAAAGACUCUGACUGUGACUGCAUUUAGGGAAGUCGAGAGGUUGAUUUGAUGUCGGUGUUGAUGCGGCGCGCUCCCAAAUGUGGUGCAGCAGCUGUGAGCCAGAGCUACAAAUCCCCAGCAAACAGACAGGACAGCCCAGCGCCGAGCCCGGCUCGUGCUGCAGAUAUGGCUCUCCAGGACUGCUGCGCUGUGAACUGAACGACACCGAGGCGCUACCAAAAAGCACAAACAGCAAAGUCUGCGCUGGAGGAAAGCAAAGCGCAAAGCGAAACCGGUAGACAGCGAACUGAUGAAACAACUCGUUAGAAAGAGAGGUUUGUAUUAGGAAUUUCCUAGUUUGUUGGUAAACCCAUUUCAGUGGCCUCAGCUUUGCUGUCACCCACGUGGACGUGGAAAGGUUUUGGCUGAGAAUGAUCUAUUCAGCAAAGAUGCAAAUUCCGUAUUGCAGCCCCUGUAUUCACAGCAGCGAAUUUGAGCAGCACAGCAGAGAAUACGGCUCUGCUUUCCUCGGUGAGUUUCCCACCUACAUCAGAUCUAUUUACUCUUCCCUGCUCCAUAUGAAAUAAGAAAAUAGGGAAGGAGCUUUCAGCCCUCGCACCCUGAAGCCCGAUGUCCGUUUGUUGCUGUUCCCAUUGGGACGAACAGCAGCGCAGCGCAGUGCGGCUGAUGGGCUUUGGGUCCAUUGCACAGGGAUUGGGCACUCACACUCAGCCUGCAGAGUUCAGAGCUACAUCGCCGUGAUUUUGGAGGGCUUGGAUCAGCUCUUUUUGUUUCCCUAGAGGCAGCGCUAUCCUAUGGGAUGUGUAAUUACUCAGUGCUGUCUUUCAUUAUGGAAUUAUCAAAAGGGCAGUUACCAUUCCUGAUGAAUGUUUUUUGUUUCAUCAGCAGGCUGAUAUUUCAGUUUUGGUCAGGGAACAAGAAAGCAGCUUCACUCAAAGCAGAACAUCCAGCUUCAUGCCACUGGAUCGUAAUUUCACACAUAAGCAACUGCUGUGGGAACAAAGGACAGAGCAUCCUGAGCUUGCUGAAGGACUGCACUGACCUGAGAGGAGGAGGGCGUGAGAUCUAAGGACAGCUUCAGCCCACAGGGGGCACAACAUUUCUCCCCCUAUCUCUAUUUUUAUGAUUCUUUAAGCAAGCAUUUUGCACCUGGCAGCUCUGAGAAACUCCGCGCUGCUCUGAGCUGCUGCUUCCUUGCAGGAUCGGGCAUUUAAUGAGCUCUCAGCAGCCUGAUCCCGUUAGCACUUGCUCAAGUAAAUAACUGGUGAUAUUGCUACACAGCCAAAAUUACUGGUCAAACUAAAGAUUAACUCCAGCCCUUCAGAGUGACCAUGAGUCUGCAGCUGAACUUUUCACAAGGUUCCUUAAAAAGAGCCAGGAGUGGAGAUGGCUGGAGAGGAUGCUUCACUGGGCAGUUGGGAGGAGCGUCCAUAUUGAAGAUUUUCACCACAGACAGAGUUUAUGUUCUGGAUCCAACAAACCCUUGGUUGCCAAUGAAUUCCCUCCCGGGUAAUCCCAUCAAGUCGCUCUGUGAAGGGUCAGCCCUAUAUGCACCUCAACUGCAGGUCAGCAACUCGCACACACAAUGCCCCUUAUACAUAUAUGCAAUUUAAAAGAUCGGACCCUUCACCAGAGCUUACUUCUAAGGGUUGGCUGUACAUGAAACUGAAGAAACCCACUUAAGGAACCAACUUUUUCCCCCUGGAAGCAAACAGGAGCACGUGGAGUCAUAGAACUCUAUCUGGCUAUCGACAUUGGACGCACAAAAGACACGUCAGUGUGGCAUUUCCUACCCCAUGAAGCCACUUUCCCCUCCAUGCCUGCUCUACAAAUACAAUAGAGCAUUGAUUGAAUCUUAAACUCACCAGACUUCAAUAAAUUCUGACCAUGUAAGAAAUUAAAGUCGAAGCGAGGGACACGCAGAGUGUUAGUCCUUCUCAAAAUAAUAAUUUAAUAACCCUCCAAAAAGUAUAGUGGUUUAGGAAAGGCAACCCAGAUGGGAACAUAUAAAAUAAAGCUAUAAAGUUUCCUUCAAAUGUAUUUUAAUCAUUGUUAAAUAUUUACAUUUAAUAAGCACUCGUUUUUAUUGCAAGAGAGAUGUAAUUACACUUAUCAUCCGUGGAAAAAUGGACUUUUAAUAGCCUGUACAUUGAUUUGCUAAGAUGAAAUAGUGUCACAGAAAUAUGUCACUCCCUCUCCCCUGGGAAUACAUACCACAUGUGAAUGUAAAACAGAUGAGGGGUUUUUAUCAGUGCUCUAUCAGCUCUAUUCCUCGUUGUCUCUGUUAUAGUCAAUACAAAUCUUUAGGGCAGAUGUUUUGCUAACUAGAAAGAGCCUGUCAUAAUGUUGCAUCCUUGCUAAUAAGGUCAUUUAUUCAGUAAACACCAACAGGAGGAGCAGCACCACCUUGAUAUCAACCCACGGGAGCUGCAGGGAAGCUCUUUGUGGUGCACAGUGCAUGCACCCUUUGGAU